RNAcentral lists this small nuclear RNA (96 nucleotides) under Rattus norvegicus (Norway rat). The record is from RNAcentral. Lineage: Eukaryota; Metazoa; Chordata; Mammalia; Rodentia; Muridae.
UUUGCUUAGGCAUCAUGUACUGAAUUAGAAUACAGAGAAGUUUAGCAUGGCCUAUGCAAGGACUACACACACAUUUGUGAAGUAUUCCCUACUUAA